This 161-nucleotide ribosomal RNA is filed under the name uncultured bacterium. RNAcentral's name for it is "partial 16S ribosomal RNA". It matches the Rfam family "Bacterial small subunit ribosomal RNA", at positions 1339 to 1500 of the family's 1533-position model. The record is from RNAcentral.
UAAUCGCGGAUCAGCAUGCCGCGGUGAAUACGUUCCCGGGCCUUGUACACACCGCCCGUCACACCAUGGGAGCCGGUAAUACCCGAAGUCAGUAGUCCAACCUCGUGAGGACGCUGCCGAAGGUAGGAUUGGCGACUGGGGUGAAGUCGUAACAAGGUAGC